This is a non-coding RNA of Chlorocebus sabaeus (green monkey), 2354 nucleotides long. The record is from RefSeq and is a predicted model, not a curated record. Lineage: Eukaryota; Metazoa; Chordata; Mammalia; Primates; Cercopithecidae.
AAUUAAAUCUCUUUCUUUUAUAAAUAACCCAGUCCCAGGCAGUUCUUUACAGAAGUGUGAGAACAGACUAAUACACAUAGGAAACAGCCACUUGAGCUCUGACUGAUCAGAGGUUUGGCACAGAGUCAAACACUGCAAUUCUGGAGUUGUACUUUGCUGAGCCUCCUCAAUCUGGUUUUAUCACGCAGCAAAGCAGACAUUUACACUCUAACUGUAGUUUCUGAUCAAAGCCAUAGUUUAAAUGGAUUAUAAGUAAUUUCCUCCUGAAGUCCCUCAAGAGUCCCUGAAGUCUGGGGUGAAUUUUGGACUGGUAGGGCCAAAAUGUGGUGGGCAGUCGUUCCCCACCUGAGUGCUAAUGCUCAAGGGUUAAGCUCAAGGUUUAGCUUCUCUUGAAAGUCUGUAAGAGCAGCUACAUUUGUUGAACAUUUCACAAAGCAGCUUAAAUUCAGGGAUACUUCUUUCAUGACCACCCAUAUCUAGAAGGGUAAACCGUGUUUUUAGGAGUUUCAAGAUUUAAUUCUGGGGAUAGUCAGGUGCCUAGUUUGGUUGGGACAAUAUAGCAAGCAGAUAACUUGGUUUAUUUGUUUGUAAGAAUAUAUUUACCUAAAUAUUGAACCAUCUGUUUAUGUCUACUUUUGCUUGUUUUUUCAAAUUCCUCUUUCCCACUUUGCUUUUAUUUUUAUAAAAUCUGACAGAAGGGUAUUAAGUUGAAAGGCUAUGUCUAUUUGGCUUGAUAAGUGUGUUUUUCCUUUUUGGGAGUGAACCCACCCUUAAGAGUUACAGAGUGUGCUGAACAUAUUCAUAAAGUGAAACACUCAUAUUUCUCACUAUUUUACAUUAUUCUCUGCCAAAGUCAGGUACUAACAGCAUUAAUAUCAAAGUAAAUUGCUAAAUAAUAGUUGCUCAAUAAAGGUUAUUGUCUAGAACUGAAAGUUAUCAUAAGGUGUAGGGGUAUAGAAUGAAGCUUUUCCAUAAAUUAUCACAACUGAAAGAUAGAACUCUGUCCUGGGCCCCUUCCCCCAAAUUACCGUUUUUUGAAAGUGCAUGAUCAUGGAGACGUAUCUACACACAGAAUCAUAGACCGUUAGAGAUGAAGGGCACCUUAUGGACACACACAAACCCAGUUUUAGGCUGCAAAAUGGGAGAAGGUAGUAUGGUACUUCAAAACCUGUCUGCAGUACAGAGCAGGCUUGAAGCUGGGAGCUCAACUCCCCAAAUAUCACAUUUAUCUCAAUUUGGUAAGAAGCUGAAAACCUAUCUGGGACCAUUUAAAUUCUCUUGUUAUUAAGGGCUCAUCUAAUCAGCUUUUAAAAUAAGCUGCUUCGAAUGCAUGGGAAAUGAAGGUGAGAUAGAAGCAGGCAAGCAAGGCAGUUCAGGCCAGCCUGUGAGCACCUGGGUUUGAAUUGCCAAGGAGCCAUGAGGGGACCUGGCUGCCUACCUAUUUGGUAACCCCUGCAAUUCCAACACCAAGCCAUGCUAGUGAAAAGUGAUUUGUAAAUGUGUGGGGGAGGGGACUAAUCUGGACAAGCUCUGUUCUCCUGUGAGGUGGUUCAGACACAUGUGAUAAGCUUGGCCAGGAAAGAUGGACUACCCUCUGUGCCAGGAGGUGACUUUGAGAUUUAAUCAGCAGGGUUUGUCAAAUAUUCUUUCAUCCCAAGUGCUUUCCCUGAGCAGAGUGCAGGUCAGUAAAAAUGUCUCCAUUGUAAUACACUGCCAGUGAUGCUUUCGUGACAGGCACCAUUAGCUGCUGGUACACCAUGGUCCACCUUCCAGCUCUGCUUGGUUGCAGAGAACUUGAUCUGAACCAGCUGGUAUCCUAGAAGCAACAAAUUAACCAAGUCUCCCUUAAGUGUGAAUGGUUAAUAGCCAGUGUGAUGUGACAAUGCCUCUUGUGAACUUGAAUGUCCAAAGGUGUUUUAAAUGGCAUGGAGUACUUUGCAGUCAAGUGCCCCCAAGGGAGGCAGGCUGCCGCUGAGGGUGUUCUGGACUGAUUCAAACAUGGGGCUUCAGAAAAGACUUGCCUUAAGUCUGCAGAGUAGCAUGAUGGAAACGGAGACUGCAGUGAGUCUGAGGAAGAAAAUGAGCUCCUGAACAAACUUUUCUGAACAAACUUUAGCAAUUGUAUAACAGAGAGAGAAGACUGGUGGCCGUAUUAUUGUUUUGUACAAUGAAAAAGGGCCACACCUGUUUGAAAAGUUCCCAGUUCAGUAUAUCAAGCUUGAGUGCCAUGGAAAGUUAUUAAAGGAGCAAAAUAUUCACUGUGCCUGCCAACUCUGUGAAUCCUAACAGCCUUCUCCUGUGGACCAUUUUUUAGAGGUUAUUAUUUCAACCUGAAAAUUCUUUAGACAUAUAUA